Molecule: ribosomal RNA, 497 nt
Filed under: uncultured bacterium
Lineage: Bacteria
Description: partial 16S ribosomal RNA
Rfam family: Bacterial small subunit ribosomal RNA
Source: RNAcentral
GAUGAACGCUGGCGGCGUGCCUAAUACAUGCAAGUCGAGCGAACGGACGCGACGCUUGCUUCUCUGAUGUUAGCGGCGGACGGGUGAGUAACACGUGGAUCACCUACCUAUAAGACUGGGAUCACUUCGGGACACCGGAGCUAAUACCGGAUAAUAUUUUGAUCCGCAUGGUUCAAAAGUGAAAGACGGUCUUGCUGUCACUUCUAGAUGCAUCCGCGCUGCAUUAGCUAGUUGGUAAGGUAACGGCUUACCAAGGCAACGAUGCAUAGCCGACCUGAGAGGGUGAUCGGCCACACUGGAACUGGAACACGGUCCAGACUCCUGCGGGAGGGAGCAGUAUGGUAUCUUCCGCAGUGGGCGAAAACCUGACGGAGCAACGCCGCGUGAGUGAUGAAAGUCUUCGGAGCGUAAAACUCUGUUAUGAGGGAAGAACAUAUGUGGAAGGAACUGUGCACAGCUUGACGGUACCGAAUCAGAAAGCCACGGCUAACUACGUG